GAUGAACGCUGGCGGCGUGCCUAAUACAUGCAAGUCGAACGCUUCACUUCGGUGAAGAGUGGCGAACGGGUGAGUAAUACAUAAGUAACCUGGCAUCUACAGGGGGAUAACUGAUGGAAACGUCAGCUAAGACCGCAUAGGUGUAGAGAUCGCAUGAACUCUAUAUGAAAAGUGCUACGGGACUGGUAGAUGAUGGACUUAUGGCGCAUUAGCUUGUUGGUAGGGUAACGGCCUACCAAGGCGACGAUGCGUAGCCGACCUGAGAGGGUGACCGGCCGCACUGGGACUGAGACACGGCCCAGACUCCUACGGGAGGCAGCAGUAGGGAAUUUUCGGCAAUGGGGGAAACCCUGACCGAGCAACGCCGCGUGAAGGAAGAAGUAAUUCGUUAUGUAAACUUCUGUCAUAGAGGAAGAACGGUGGAUAUAGGGAAUGAUAUCCAAGUGACGGUACU
This 454-nucleotide ribosomal RNA is filed under the name uncultured bacterium. RNAcentral describes it as "bacterial SSU rRNA". It matches the Rfam family "Bacterial small subunit ribosomal RNA", at positions 28 to 479 of the family's 1533-position model. The record is from RNAcentral.